GAUGAAGAACGUAGCGAAAUGCGAUAAGUAGUGUGAAUUGCAGAAUUCAGUGAAUCAUCGAAUCUUUGAACGCACAUUGCGCCCUUUGGUAUUCCAAAGGGCAUGCCUGUUCGAGCGUCAUUUGUACCCUCAAGCUUUGCUUGGUGUUGGGCGUCUUGUCUCUAGCUUUGCUGGAGACUCGCCUUAAAGUAAUUGGCAGCCGGCCUACUGGUUUCGGAGCGCAGCACAAGUCGCACUCUCUAUCAGCAAAGGUCUAGCAUCCAUUAAGCCUUUUUUUCAACUUUUGACCUCGGAUCAGGUAGGGAUACCCGCUGAACUUAAGCAUAUUAAUAAGCGGAGGA
Molecule: unclassified non-coding RNA, 341 nt
Filed under: soil metagenome
Description: partial contains 5.8S ribosomal RNA, internal transcribed spacer 2, and large subunit ribosomal RNA
Rfam family: 5.8S ribosomal RNA (bases 1-120)
Source: RNAcentral